Long non-coding RNA from Magallana angulata, 636 nucleotides. RefSeq lists it as uncharacterized. The record is from RefSeq and is a predicted model, not a curated record. Lineage: Eukaryota; Metazoa; Mollusca; Bivalvia; Ostreida; Ostreidae. The transcript is spliced from 3 exons.
CAAAAGUAUAAUAUUGAUGCUAAAAAUAUUGAAAGUAUGUGCAAUAAAAAAGAUGACCUCGGCAUAUGAAGCUCCAAGAAAGCUUAAAUAAUUAGAUGAAAUCAACACUUCUUAUAACCCUUUUAUUGGCAAUGACCAUUCUUCAAGUGGUGUUCUCCACAUCUACAAGUAGCCAAAGUACCACUACGGCUACGCCUGCGGGUACUCCUUCUCUUACUAAUGCUCCUACUACUACGCCAGCAAACAACACAGCAGGAGGAGGCGGGGCAGACGCCGUGUCGCUAAGCUACUACAUGUUUGCUUUGACAAUACUUGGUGCAUAUUUCAUUCAGUUGUUAGAGCACUAACUACAUUCAAAUAAGAGUGAUGGCCUAUGAUCUUCCAAGGGAGGCAAAUCCAACAUUUUAUGUUUUGUGAAACUGUAAUAUUACAUAAAGUAUUUAAUGAAUAUUACUCUAUUAUUUACAUAUGAUUUAUGAUUGCAAGUUUGUAAUAUUGAUUGCUAAGUGGUUUAUUUCGAAUUUAAUGUUGUUUUUGUUUUUUGAGAAUUAUAUUUACAAUCAACAACAUUUUACAUGUACAUGUUAAAUUAUUAGGUAUAGUUAUUUAUGACAAGCUAGUAAAAGAAAAAGAAAA